UACGUAGGUGGCAAGCGUUGUCCGGAAUCAUUGGGCGUAAAGAGCGUGUAGGCGGUUCGGUAAGUCGGCUGUGAAAGUCCAGGGCUCAACCCUGGGAUGCCGGUCGAUACUGCCGGACUAGAGUUCGGAAGAGGCGAGUGGAAUUCCCGGUGUAGCGGUGAAAUGCGCAGAUAUCGGGAGGAACACCUAUGGCGAAGGCAGCUCGCUGGGACGUUACUGACGCUGAGACGCGAAAGCGUGGGGAGCAAACAGG
Molecule: ribosomal RNA, 253 nt
Filed under: uncultured bacterium
Lineage: Bacteria
Description: partial 16S ribosomal RNA
Rfam family: Bacterial small subunit ribosomal RNA
Source: RNAcentral